This 319-nucleotide ribosomal RNA is filed under the name uncultured Actinomycetes bacterium. RNAcentral's name for it is "bacterial SSU rRNA". It matches the Rfam family "Bacterial small subunit ribosomal RNA", at positions 1032 to 1350 of the family's 1533-position model. The record is from RNAcentral. Lineage: Bacteria; Bacillati; Actinomycetota; Actinomycetes.
GAACAGGUGGUGCAUGGUUGUCGUCAGCUCGUGUCGUGAGAUGUUGGGUUAAGUCCCGCAACGAGCGCAACCCUCGUUCUAUGUUGCCAGCACGUAAUGGUGGGAACUCAUGGGAUACUGCCGGGGUCAACUCGGAGGAAGGUGGGGAUGACGUCAAAUCAUCAUGCCCCUUAUGUCUUGGGCUUCACGCAUGCUACAAUGGCCGGUACAAAGGGCUGCAAUACCGUGAGGUGGAGCGAAUCCCAAAAAGCCGGUCCCAGUUCGGAUUGAGGUCUGCAACUCGACCUCAUGAAGUCGGAGUCGCUAGUAAUCGCAGAAU